AGGGAACGCCACCAGUGGGUACAUGCACCUGCUAAGCGUGCCCUGCUGAGCAGCAGAGACAAAGGUCCCGUAUACAUGAAACCUGCCAGAAGAGACACCGACAACCAAACAAGAUAACGUGUACAGCAAAGGCGGCUCUCCGUCCAAGAAUUGUCUAAAAGAACAUUACCAUCCUGGCUGCCAGCAGCCAUAGACACAUCACAGGAAGCAAGCGGCUGCCUUGUUCCGCGGGAUAAAGAGCAGAUGUCUCAGCUGCUCAGAUACACAGAGUGCUGGACACUGAGGUCCUCCCACCGUCCACAGAACCCCUGACCAGGGUCCUCCCCAGAGCUGAGCGCACCAAACUCUGGGUGAGGCCUGCAGCACAUGCUACUGCAGAAGAGGCUUCCACAUCUGUCUCACUGCUGUGCCACGUCUCAUGGUCACCUCAAGAGUCACCAAAUAUUUGAGGGCCAGGCAAAGGUGGGAGCGGGAAAGAGAUGCAAAGGUUCCUGAAGACAAACCAGCCCUGCAUUCAGGAUCCUUGAUCUAAUCAGACGUGCAGACACCAGGUAAUGAAGCUCUGCCUGAGCCAACUCCGGGGAGACUCCAGUGCGCUGUGCCCUGGAACUGGAGACGGAGCCACCGGAGAGCCGAGGAGGAGGGCAGUGGGCACAACUCAGCACACCCCUUAAUAUCAUCCGUCAGUCACUG
This 693-nucleotide long non-coding RNA is filed under the name Fukomys damarensis (Damara mole-rat). Its description in RNAcentral is "lncRNA (ENSFDAG00000024871.1)". The record is from RNAcentral. Lineage: Eukaryota; Metazoa; Chordata; Mammalia; Rodentia; Bathyergidae.